Molecule: unclassified non-coding RNA, 213 nt
Filed under: Hevea brasiliensis (rubber tree)
Lineage: Eukaryota; Viridiplantae; Streptophyta; Magnoliopsida; Malpighiales; Euphorbiaceae
Source: RNAcentral
UCAUUCAUAGUGUUCCCUAGUUUUGAUGCAUUGCAUCUUAUUCUAACAUCCUUGCCUCAUAACAUAAUAGCAUAAGCUAUAACCUGUCAUAAUUACAAUUACAACCAAAUUACACUUUCUGCAACUUCAUAUACAACACAGAAUAAUUAUAAAGCUAAGUGCAGCCAGUUAUGCACAAGAGGGAGCAUCAAAACUAGGGAACACUAUGAAUGA